AGGAGCUGGAGAGAUAGCUCAGG
RNAcentral lists this non-coding RNA (23 nucleotides) under Cricetulus griseus (Chinese hamster). Lineage: Eukaryota; Metazoa; Chordata; Mammalia; Rodentia; Cricetidae. The record is from RNAcentral.